UAUAAAGUCUAAUCUGCCCAAUGAGUUAUUAAAUGGCCGCGGUAUUUUGACCGUGCAAAGGUAGCAUAAUAAUUAGUUUUUUAAUUGAAAGCUGGAAUGAAUGAUUGGACGAGAGAAUUACUGUCUCUAUUUAGUUUAUUUUGAAUUUUAUUUUUAAGUAAAAAAGCUUAAAUUAAUUUAAAAGACGAGAAGACCCUAUAGAGUUUAAUAGAUUUAUUGAUAAUAAUUGAUAGGUAUUUUUAUAUUAAUAUGAGUAAGUUUAUUUUGUUGGGGUGAUGGAAAAAUUUAUAUAACUUUUUUUUUUUUAAAACAUUGAUUUAUGAUUAAUUGAUCCAUUUUUUAUGAUUAUAAGGUUAAAUUACCUUAGGGAUAACAGCGUAAUUUUUUUUUAGAGUUCUAAUCGAAAGAAGAGUUUGCGACCUCGAUGUUGGAUUAAAAUUAAUGUUUGGUGUAGAAGCUAAACUAUUAGGUCUGUUCGACCUUUGAAAUUUUACA
RNAcentral lists this ribosomal RNA (495 nucleotides) under Triodontella sp. 835138. RNAcentral's name for it is "partial 16S large subunit ribosomal RNA". It matches the Rfam family "Bacterial large subunit ribosomal RNA", at positions 1844 to 2600 of the family's 2925-position model. The record is from RNAcentral. Lineage: Eukaryota; Metazoa; Arthropoda; Insecta; Coleoptera; Scarabaeidae.